This 559-nucleotide ribosomal RNA is filed under the name uncultured cyanobacterium. Its description in RNAcentral is "bacterial SSU rRNA". It matches the Rfam family "Bacterial small subunit ribosomal RNA", at positions 57 to 656 of the family's 1533-position model. Lineage: Bacteria; Bacillati; Cyanobacteriota. The record is from RNAcentral.
GCAGUCGUACGAGAGUUUUUACUCAAGUGGCGGACGGGUGAGUAACACGCUGCAGAAUUUGCCUUUAGGAGGGGGAUAACAGAGUGAAAACGCUGCUAAUACCCCAUAUGCUUUCGAGUGAAAUGGAUUUAUUCGCCUAAAGAGAAGCUCGCGGCUGAUUAGCUUGUUGGUAAGGUAAUGGCUUACCAAGGCGACGAUCAGUAUCUGGUUUGAGAGGACGAUCAGACACACUGGAACUGAGACACGGUCCAGACUCCUACGGGAGGCAGCAGUGGGGAAUUUUCCGCAAUGGGCGAAAGCCUGACGGAGCAAUACCGCGUGAGGGAUGACGGCCUAUGGGUUGUAAACCUCUUUUCUCAGGGAGGAAAUCAAUGACGUUACCUGAGGAAUAAGCAUCGGCUAACUCCGUGCCAGCAGCCGCGGUAAGACGGAGGAUGCAAGUGUUAUCCGGAAUCACUGGGCGUAAAGCGUCUGUAGGUGGCUUAACAAGUCAACUGUUAAAUCUUGAAGCUCAACUUCGAAAUCGCAGUCGAAACUGUUAGGCUAGAGUAUAGUAGGG